This 496-nucleotide ribosomal RNA is filed under the name Blastocystis sp. Its description in RNAcentral is "SSU rRNA". It matches the Rfam family "Eukaryotic small subunit ribosomal RNA", at positions 460 to 953 of the family's 1831-position model. The record is from RNAcentral. Lineage: Eukaryota; Bigyra; Opalinata; Blastocystidae.
GGAGGUAGUGACAAUAAAUCUCAAUACGAAGCCUUUGGUUUUGUAAUUGAAUUGAGAACAAUGUACAAUCGUUAUCGAUAAACAAUUGGAGGGCAAGUCUGGUGCCAGCAGCCGCGGUAAUUCCAGCUCCAAUAGCGUAUAUUAACGUUGUUGCAGUUAAAAAGCUCGUAGUUGAAGUUUAGAUAAUUUAUUGAAAGUGUUUGUAUUCGUACAUUCUACUUUUAUGUAAGUUAUCGACAUCCAGGUGGGUGCCAUGGUUCCGCAAGGAAUCGUGAUACUAGACUGGUCAUUUACUGUGAGAAAAUUAGAGUGUUUAAAGCAGACUUUUAUCAAAAUAGUUUGAAUAGAUUAGCAUGGAAUAAUAAGAUUGGCUUUCAUAGUCGAUUUUUUGGUUUGUUUAUGAAAGCAAGAUUAAUAGGGACAGUUGGGGGUAUUCAUAUUCAAUAGCUAGAGGUGAAAUUCUAUGAUUUAUGGAAGAUGAACAAGUGCGAAAGCA